Molecule: long non-coding RNA, 235 nt
Filed under: Ananas comosus (pineapple)
Lineage: Eukaryota; Viridiplantae; Streptophyta; Magnoliopsida; Poales; Bromeliaceae
Description: long non-coding RNA (ACOM_LNC022183)
Source: RNAcentral
AGAUGAUCUUAGGGAAAUUUUAAAGAGAGAACGAGAGAGUUUUGAUCAAAUAUGAAGUAGAAAAAUAAACUGUAAGGAUAAGAAUUUUACUGUGUAGCUAAAUUCCUUGUUGAUGAUGUUUUUGUGUGUAAUUCAAUUACAUAAGAACUUGUCAAGUUUCUGGAGAAAACGAGUUAGGAUAGAAAAGUUAUGCGAUCUUUACUAAUCACUUGAAGUGAAUAGUAACUCAGGUUUU